RNAcentral lists this ribosomal RNA (253 nucleotides) under uncultured bacterium. RNAcentral's name for it is "partial 16S ribosomal RNA". It matches the Rfam family "Bacterial small subunit ribosomal RNA", at positions 524 to 776 of the family's 1533-position model. The record is from RNAcentral.
UACAGAGGUCCCAAGCGUUGUUCGGAUUCACUGGGCGUAAAGGGUGCGUAGGUGGCUUGGUAAGUUUGAUGUGAAAUCUCCGGGCUUAACCCGGAAAUGGCAUUGAAUACUAUUGAGCUGGAGGUUUGGAGGGGGGACUGGAAUUCUCGGUGUAGCAGUGAAAUGCGUAGAUAUCGAGAGGAACACCAGUGACGAAGGCGAGUCCCUGGACAACACCUGACACUGAGGCACGAAAGCUAGGGGAGCAAACAGG